UACGUAGGGGGCAAGCGUUGUCCGGAAUCAUUGGGCGUAAAGCGCGUGUAGGCGGUUCGAUAAGUCUGCUGUGAAAGUCCAGGGCUCAACCCUGGGAUGCCGGUGGAUACUGUCGGACUAGAGUACGGAAGAGGCGAGUGGAAUUCCCGGUGUAGCGGUGAAAUGCGCAGAUAUCAGGAGGAACACCGGUGGCGAAGGCGGAUCUCUGGGCCAUUACUGACGCUGAGGAGCGAAAGCGUGGGGAGCGAACAGG
This 253-nucleotide ribosomal RNA is filed under the name uncultured bacterium. Its description in RNAcentral is "partial 16S ribosomal RNA". It matches the Rfam family "Bacterial small subunit ribosomal RNA", at positions 524 to 776 of the family's 1533-position model. The record is from RNAcentral.